Molecule: long non-coding RNA, 840 nt
Organism: Oncorhynchus tshawytscha (Chinook salmon)
Lineage: Eukaryota; Metazoa; Chordata; Actinopteri; Salmoniformes; Salmonidae
Source: Ensembl
GGGGAAGAGAAAAAGUUGGCCCACGACCCUGGGAAUAUCAUGUGAAGCAUCCAGAAAUAUCCUAGAUGGCUGGAGCAGAAGCCCAGGCUCAGAAACCUCCACUGACAGAGGAGGGGAGAAGACUUAGUGGAGGAGAGCGAGACUAACCAGAGAGGAAAACUUUUGCCUUUGGAUAACUAAGAACUAUGGGGAAAGAUCCAAUAUGGCAGUUGCCAGCAUGUCCAUGCCUGGCUCCACAACCAACCUAGAAUCAGAUGUUACAUAGUAAAUGUAAAUCUGUCUCUCUCCAUUUAGUCAUUACAACGUAGCUAUAGCCAAUAUGACAUAUGGGCAACAAUUGCCAGUGACGAGCCCAUCAAGGACCUGAUUGGUGAACCACUGAUCCAUUCACAGCUUUGGCUGUUGACAAGGUUAGGGACUACCACACACAGUGCUUUUAAUAUACAGUGUUUUCAACUUACAUAUUUUAAAUAUAUAAUUGCAUUGUGUAUGUUCAUUUACAGUAAUUAUUAUUCAACGUGUUCUCACCUGGAAUUUAAACUCACAACCUUGUGGUUCACAGAUUUCCAAUCUUCCUGUUACGCCACCGUGUCUGUGUCAACGCCAGCUUUCACCUGUAUUGUUACACUUUGCACUUCAAAGUAAAUCUCAGAUCUUUUAAAAAUACACGGAAGAAAAACAAGUUUAUUUUUUACAGUGAUUCAGGAGUAACAUUAAAAAACAUUAGAUAGCUAACUAUACAGUACAUUGCAAAGCCUCAAAUGGCUGAAAUAAGUCAAUCAAAUCACUGAUGAGAGAUUAGUCUGAUUAAAACUUCUUCGGGAUCAGUGUCCCUUCCAC